GACGAACGCUGGCGGCGUGCUUAACACAUGCAAGUCGAACGGAAAGGCCCCUUUGGGGGUACUCGAGUGGCGAACGGGGGAGUAACACGUGAGUAACCUGCCCUUGACUUCGGGAUAACUUCAGGAAACUGGGGCUAAUACCGGAUAGGAAUCCUUGCUGCAUGGUGGGGGUUGGAAAGCUUCGGCGGUUUUGGAUGGACUCGCGGCUUAUCAGCUUGUUGGUGGGGUAGUGGCUUACCAAGGCUUUGACGGGUAGCCGGCCUGAGAGGGCGACCGGCCACAUUGGGACUGAGAUACGGCCCAGACGCCUACGGGAGGCAGCAGUGGGGAAUAUUGCACAAUGGGCGGAAGCCUGAUGCAGCAACGCCGCGUGCGGGAUGACGGCCUUCGGGUUGUAAACCGCUUUCAGCAGGGGCGAAGCUUGUGGUGACGGUACCUGCAGAAGAAGCACCGGCUAACUACGUG
Molecule: ribosomal RNA, 465 nt
Filed under: uncultured bacterium
Lineage: Bacteria
Description: partial 16S ribosomal RNA
Rfam family: Bacterial small subunit ribosomal RNA
Source: RNAcentral